This is a long non-coding RNA of Cyprinus carpio carpio, 1453 nucleotides long. NCBI's taxonomy places the organism in Eukaryota, Metazoa, Chordata, Actinopteri, Cypriniformes, Cyprinidae. The record is from Ensembl.
UUACUUCAACAACAAUACCUACAUCUUCAGAAACAACUGCACCUGUAACAACAUCAAUAACUACAGCAUCCUCAACUACUGAAAUUCCCACCACCACAGUUGUGAGUACAGAAACCACAACUAUUUCUUCCACAACAAUGCCUACAACUUCAGAAAGUACAACAGCAGAAACCACAACUACAGCUUCAUCAACCACAUCUACAACAACAAACAAUCCAGCAACAUCAAUAGCUGUAACUUCAGAAUCCACAACUCUUACUUCAACAACGAUACCUACAUCUUCAGAAACAACUGCACCUGUAACAAUAUCAACAACUAAUGGAUUGUCAAUUAGUGAAAUUCCAACAACCACAGUUUACAACAGCAGAAACCACAACUACAGCUUCAUCAACCACAUCUACAACAACAAACAAUCCAGCAACAUCAACAGCUGUAACUUCAGAAUCCACAACUCUUACUUCAACAACGAUACCUACAUCUUCAGAAACAACUGCACCUGUAACAAUAUCAACAACUAAUGGAUUGUCAAUUAGUGAAAUUCCAACAACCACAGUUGUGAGUACAGAGACCACAACUACUACUUCAACAACACUGCCUACAACUACAGCUUUGUCACCUAAAUCUACAACAACAAAUGAUCCAACAACAUCAAUAGCAGUAACUUCAGAAUCGACAACUCUUACUUCAACAAUGCCUACAUCUUCAGAAACAACUGCACCUGUAACAACAUCAGUAAUUACAGCAUCCUCAACUACUGAAAUUCCCACCAACACAGUUGUGAGGACCGAAACCACACGCAUUACUUCAACAACACUGCCUACAACUUCAGAAAGUACAACAGCAGAGACCGCAACUACAGCUUCAUCAACCACAUCUACAACAACAAAUGAUCCAACGACAUCAGCAGCUGUAACUUCAGAAUCCACAACUCUUACAUCAACAAUGCCUACAUCUUCAGAAACAACCGCACCUGUAACAACAUCAGUAACUACAGCAUCCUCAACUACUGAAAUUCCCACCACCACAGUUGUGAGGACUGAAACCACAACUAUUACUUCAACAACACUGCCUACAACUUCAGAAAGAACAACAGCAGAGACCACAACUGCAGCUUCAUCAACCACAUCUACAAUAACAAACAAUCCAGCAACAUCAACAGCUGUAACUUCAGAAUCCACAGCUCUUACUUCAACAACUAUGCUUACAUCUUCAGAUACAACUGCACCUGUAAGAAUAACAGCAACUAAAGGAUUGUCAACUAGUGAAAUUCCAACAACCACAGUUGUGAGUACAGAGACCACAACUACUACUUCAGAAACACUGCCUACAACUUCAGAAAGUACAACAGCAGAAACCACAACUACAGCUUCAUCAACGAUACCUACAUCUUCAGAAACAACUGCACCUGUAACAACAUCAGCAACUAAAGGAUUGUCAACUAGCGAAAUUCCAA